Molecule: transfer RNA, 76 nt
Filed under: Clostridia bacterium
Lineage: Bacteria; Bacillati; Bacillota; Clostridia
Also listed under: 1 other name
Description: tRNA-Trp
Rfam family: tRNA
About the family: Transfer RNA (tRNA) molecules are approximately 80 nucleotides in length. Their secondary structure includes four short double-helical elements and three loops (D, anti-codon, and T loops).
Source: RNAcentral
AGGGGCAUAGCUCAGUUGGUAGAGCACUGGUCUCCAAAACCAGGUGUCGAGAGUUCGAGCCUUUCUACCCCUGCCA